GACGAACGCUGGCGGCGUGCCUAAUACAUGCAAGUAGAACGCUGAAGGAGGAGCUUGCUUCUCUGGAUGAGUUGCGAACGGGUGAGUAACGCGUAGGUAACCUGCCUGGUAGCGGGGGAUAACUAUUGGAAACGAUAGCUAAUACCGCAUAAUAGUAGAUGUUGCAUGACAUUUGCUUAAAAGGUGCAAUUGCACCACUACCAGAUGGACCUGCGUUGUAUUAGCUAGUUGGUGGGGUAACGGCUCACCAAGGCGACGAUACAUAGCCGACCUGAGAGGGUGAUCGGCCACACUGGGACUGAGACACGGCCCAGACUCCUACGGGAGGCAGCAGUAGGGAAUCUUCGGCAAUGGACGGAAGUCUGACCGAGCAACGCCGCGUGAGGGAAGAAGGUUUUCGGAUCGUAAAGCUCUGUUGUAAGAGAAGAACGAGUGUGAGAGUGGAAAGUUCACACUGUGACGGUAUCUUACCAGAAAGGGACGGCUAACUACGUG
Molecule: ribosomal RNA, 495 nt
Filed under: uncultured bacterium
Lineage: Bacteria
Description: partial 16S ribosomal RNA
Rfam family: Bacterial small subunit ribosomal RNA
Source: RNAcentral